UACGUAGGGGGCUAGCGUUGUCCGGAAUCAUUGGGCGUAAAGAGCGUGUAGGCGGCUCGGUAAGUCCGCUGUGAAAGUCCAGGGCUCAACCCUGGAAUGCCAGUGGAAACUGUCGAGCUAGAGUCCGGAAGAGGCGAGUGGAAUUCCUGGUGUAGCGGUGAAAUGCGCAGAUAUCAGGAGGAACACCAAUGGCGAAGGCAGCUCGCUGGGACGGUAGCUGACGCUGAGACGCGAAAGCGUGGGGAGCAAACAGG
This 254-nucleotide ribosomal RNA is filed under the name uncultured bacterium. RNAcentral's name for it is "partial 16S ribosomal RNA". It matches the Rfam family "Bacterial small subunit ribosomal RNA", at positions 524 to 776 of the family's 1533-position model. The record is from RNAcentral.